ACAGAGGGUGCAAGCGUUAAUCGGAUUUACUGGGCGUAAAGCGCGCGUAGGCGGCUAAUUAAGUCAAAUGUGAAAUCCCCGAGCUUAACUUGGGAAUUGCAUUCGAUACUGGUUAGCUAGAGUGUGGGAGAGGAUGGUAGAAUUCCAGGUGUAGCGGUGAAAUGCGUAGAGAUCUGGAGGAACACCAGAGGCGAAGGCGACACCCUGGGCCGUACCUGACGCUAAGACGCGACAGCACGGGGAGCGAACGG
This 251-nucleotide ribosomal RNA is filed under the name uncultured prokaryote. RNAcentral's name for it is "partial 16S ribosomal RNA". It matches the Rfam family "Bacterial small subunit ribosomal RNA", at positions 525 to 775 of the family's 1533-position model. The record is from RNAcentral.